ACUAGGCAUGGUGGUGCAUGCCUGUAAUCCCAGUGGCUCAGGAGGCUGAGGCAGGAGAAUCACAAGUUCAAAGCCAGCCUUGGCAAUUUAAUGGGGCCCUGAGAAACUUGGUAAGACCCUGUCUCAA
This 127-nucleotide small RNA is filed under the name Marmota monax (woodchuck). Lineage: Eukaryota; Metazoa; Chordata; Mammalia; Rodentia; Sciuridae. The record is from RNAcentral.